RNAcentral lists this ribosomal RNA (373 nucleotides) under uncultured organism. RNAcentral's name for it is "partial 16S ribosomal RNA". It matches the Rfam family "Bacterial small subunit ribosomal RNA", at positions 527 to 896 of the family's 1533-position model. The record is from RNAcentral.
GUAGGUGGCAAGCGUUGUCCGGAAUUAUUGGGCGUAAAGCGCGCGCGGGCGGUUCUUUAAGUCUGAUGUGAAAGCCCACGGGCUCAACCGUGGGGGGUCAUUGGAAACUGGAGAACUUGAGUACAGAAGAGGAAAGCGGAAUUCCACGUGUAGCGGUGAAAUGCGUAGAGAUGUGGAGGAACACCAGUGGCGAAGGCGGCUUUCUGGUCUGUAACUGACGCUGAGGCGCGAAAGCGUGGGGAGCAAACAGGAUUAGAUACCCUGGUAGUCCACGCCGUAAACGAUGAGUGCUAAGUGUUAGGGGGUUUCCGCCCCUUAGUGCUGCAGCUAACGCAUUAAGCACUCCGCCUGGGGAGUACGGCCGCAAAGGCUG